AGUGGGGUGGAGCAGCCCGGUAGCUCGUCAGGCUCAUAACCUGAAGGCCGCAGGUUCAAAUCCUGCCCCCGCAACCA
Molecule: transfer RNA, 77 nt
Filed under: Acetobacter pasteurianus
Lineage: Bacteria; Pseudomonadati; Pseudomonadota; Alphaproteobacteria; Acetobacterales; Acetobacteraceae
Description: tRNA-Met
Rfam family: tRNA
About the family: Transfer RNA (tRNA) molecules are approximately 80 nucleotides in length.
Source: RNAcentral